CACACUGGGACUGAGACACGGCCCAGACUCCUACGGGAGGCAGCAGUGGGGAAUCUUGCGCAAUGGGCGAAAGCCUGACGCAGCAACGCCGCGUGGAGGACGAAGGCUCUCAGAGUUGUAAACUCCUUUCAGUAGGGACGACAUCGACGGUACCUACAGAAGAAGCCCCGGCCAACUACGUGCCAGCAGCCGCCGUAACAC
This 201-nucleotide ribosomal RNA is filed under the name uncultured bacterium. RNAcentral's name for it is "partial 16S ribosomal RNA". It matches the Rfam family "Bacterial small subunit ribosomal RNA", at positions 309 to 526 of the family's 1533-position model. The record is from RNAcentral.